GUUAGUUGGAAGUGGAAGAGUCAGCGUUCAGCCAUUGCAAAUUGCAACUCUGUUCCAAAGACGCGUUGUGCGCGAAUGAUUUAUUUCACUUAAUUAUUUAAUUAAUAAAAUUAUUAUUUUUUCGUUUAAUAUCGUUAGAAUCAUCUAAUAAAACAGUGAUAAUCAUGAGCGAUCGACCAAGUAAUGGUGAAUUUAAGUAUAAAAGGGAUGAAAACUCUGAUUCGGAGGCAAAAACAUCGUCGGAAAAGGAACGUGAUGAAAAGAAGUAUCAAGUUGACAAAGCCGGAGAAUAUGUUCGAGAACUUUUACAAGAAAAAGUUGAAUUGGAUUCGCAGAAAUGGCCUAAUGCAACGAGACUAAUUGAUCAAGAAAUUCAGAAAACUCAAGCUAUUGGCAAACCAGUAAGGGAUCCGAAAUAUGUGGAUAUUUAUCGUGAAAAACCAAUUCGAGUUUCGGUUAAAGUAUUGGUACCCGUUCGGGAACAUCCAAAGUUUAAUUUUGUUGGAAAAUUAUUGGGACCGAAAGGUAAUUCUAUGAAACGUUUGCAAGAAGAAACAAUGUGUAAAAUGGCAGUAUUAGGAAGAGGAUCCAUGAAAGAUCGUCAAAAAGAAGAAGAAUAUCGUAUGUCUCUGGAUCCGAAAUAUGCUCAUCUUUCGGAUGAUUUACAUGUUGAAAUAACAGCACUCGCACCUCCGGCGGAAGCUUAUGCUCGUAUUGCAUUUGCGUUAGCCGAAGUUCGGAAAUAUUUGAUCCCAGAUAAUAAUGACAAUAUACGCCAAGAGCAAAUGCGCGAAAUGGAAAUGAACAUGGCAGAUGAUCCAACGAGUAAUGACGAUAGAAGGCCUUCUGUCAGAGGUGUACCAGGUGCUGGUGGAAUAUUAAGACCAUCCGCAAGGCCAACAAUGCAACGAUCUUCGCGAGCGGCAAUACUUCCACCGCCUUCUAGUCGGGGGCCAAUCACUCGUCCUGUAUCAGCAAAAAGUAAAGUUUUUUCUAUUUUAGAUCGAGCAAGAGUCGCCAUGGAUCAGAGUUAUGGUUAUGAAACUGCUACUCCGCCUCCAAGUAACCGUGUGGGAACUCAUCAUGAUUAUGAUUAUCACACAUCAACGAGCAGUAGUAGCCGAUAUGGAGACCGACAUUAUACAUCAACAUCAGGAGAUGAUAUGUAUCCUUCCUCGAGGUAUGCAACUUAUGAAUACGAAGAUGAUACUGUGCCACACUCUUCUCACAAUUACUACGAAACAUCAGAAUAUCCAGGUGUAUAGAAGAAUACAGAAGAUUGUGUGGGAACACGUUUUCAUGGAUUGAAAUAUUUUAAUCUCCUGUUUCUCUAUUCAGUGGAGUUUGAAGUGCCUUGAAAUCAUGCAAUGGGAUGAACAGUCUAUGCACAAUUAUAAUUACGUCAGUUGAAGAAAUAAUGGAAUUUAACUAUUAAACAGUGACUGAUGGCGCAAGUUGCAGUUCGCUACCAAAAUGGCGUCUGUAAACGCGGUGUGUACGAAGUAAAUUGAAAUAUUUAUUCUGUUUUCUGUGUAAACGGUUUUAAUUAAUAUUUAAGAAUAGUUUAGAAGUAUCUAGAAAAUAAGUGGAGAUAAAGUGUAAAUUUUUAUUGUGUAUCAAGAUGAUUAGCGAAGUGAGAAUAACGUUUAACUUGCAUGAUUUGGCGCGCUCCAUCCAUUUACAGCUAUAGUUCCAAGUUCCGAGAAAAAUCCAUUUCGUUCAUAUACCUUGGAGAAACGUUAAACUGGUAAACUGGAGCACGUCGAGGAGUGACGAAGGAGCCAAGAUUCGUGGGAGUGGAAAAUUGUAUGAAGGGUUGGACGCGGAUUUUUGUAUACGUAUCCCUUAUUAUUCCAAUAAAUUUUUGAUCGGCAAGAAUAAAUUUCGACGAAUUGCGAAGGUUGUAACAGCUGAAGGGAAUCUAAAAUUCUAAAGGAAGAACCAAUCGAGGACGUGCAAAUGGCAAUCGCCGACCGUUAAGACAGGUAUACAAGGUAUGGUUUUGAAGAGAAUCAUCUUGAAGCAUGACAAUGAAGUAUACUUUCAAGCUUUCACAAUGGAGAAACCUUCUGGCGAAAGGAUCUCUCCUCGCCGUCCGUGUCUCUCUUGCGCUUGCCACCGUCCCUGUGCUCGUUCAGCGUGGUCUCGUGCUCGUCCAACAUGUCGGUGACCAUCAGUUCCGACUCGACGCUCGUCGGGGAUACGACUUCGUCCAGCGGUGACAUGGUCGACCUGUCGGCUUCACCGGCCUCCAGCACGGACAUGAUGGGCCACUUUUCCCGCCGCGGAUGCCUCCUCGAUGGUCGUCACGAUCACCAGAAUUCGCGGACAGUCGGGCCUCGUCUUCGACAAGACGAGAGGUGGCAACGAGGCACCUCCACUCUUCAAAAUUUGUCUCCUCCAUCCUUCUACCAUCCAUCGUUCCUCGCCACAAUUUUAAAAAACAAGAAAAAUGGUUCUUCGAGAAACAAAUCGUACAACCGCUUUUCUCGAAAGCAGGAAAAAAGAAAAGUGCACGACCUCCUCCCAUACCCAAUCUCAUAUCCUUCCUCCUCCUCGUCCCUCAAACGAAGACAUUCCACUGUGAAAUCGUAAAUACACAAAGCCAAUUCCCUCCCCGCUUUAUCGUUGGAGCGCAAUCGCGAAACGAUCUCGGAUCGAUACGGCGAGCAGCAGGCCGAGUGGGACGAGAACGAAGAAAAAGAAAUCUCGCGCGCUUGAGCAAAGAAGAGAGGAAAAAGCAAAACGAGGCGUAUUCGAUUCUACUCGGCCAUUAGGGCACACAGCACACAGCAUCCACGUGAGCCCCAUUCCUGGAGCCAGGCCUGGUUGCGGUUUCGCGAUCGAGGAGCGGUGGAUCCACGCCGAUCGGAAUCUCGUUCCAACGAUAUCGUAUUCGUUUCGUGAAGGCUGCGUUAUCCGCCAUUCUUCUCCCUCCAACCGAUAUUCCAUUCCGUUCUCAAUUUCAAAGACCGGCGCGAUCGUCCAACUCGCAGCAUCGAAUCGAGCUCGAAGGAACGAUAGAUCACGCGGCUACAUCCUCUGGAUCGGAGGACGACGACUUCGUGAUCCCGAGAAUGAGAUCCAAAGCUGUUAUGAGGAGUCCCGAGACUAGAAAACGGGCUUGUUACGCGGCCGAGUUAUGGGGGACGCGUUACGUGAGAGAGAUUUGGAGUAUAUUGGAUAUAUGAAGAGAACGUUGGUGAAACGGUGAGACGACUGAUAAGCGGUCCGACACGGAUAAGGAAGAUCAAGAAAGUGAUCGACAAGAUAGAUAUAAAAAA
RNA transcript from Apis mellifera (honey bee), 3284 nucleotides. It is a transcript of the gene named KH domain-containing, RNA-binding, signal transduction-associated protein 2, with no coding region annotated. The record is from RefSeq and is a predicted model, not a curated record. The transcript has 16 exons. Lineage: Eukaryota; Metazoa; Arthropoda; Insecta; Hymenoptera; Apidae.